UACAGAGGGUGCUAGCGUUGUUCGGAAUCAUUGGGCGUAAAGGGCGUGUAGGCGGUUUGUUAAGUCAUGUGUGAAAUCCCUCGGCUCAACCGGGGAACGACGCAUGAAACUGGCAAGCUAGAGUACCAAAGAGGGGGGUGGAAUUCCCGGUGUAGCGGUGAAAUGCGUAGAUAUCAGGAGGAACACCAGCGGCGAAGGCGGCGCUCUGGGCCGGAACUGACGCUGAGGAGCGAAAGCGUGGGUAGCAAACAGG
Molecule: ribosomal RNA, 253 nt
Filed under: uncultured bacterium
Lineage: Bacteria
Description: partial 16S ribosomal RNA
Rfam family: Bacterial small subunit ribosomal RNA
Source: RNAcentral